CCUACGGGAGGCAGCAGUGAGGAAUAUUGGUCAAUGGGCGCGAGCCUGAACCAGCCAAGUCGCGUGAGGGCGGACGGCCCUACGGGUUGUAAACCUCUUUUGCCCGGGAGCAACGGGCGCCACGUGUGGCGUCACUGCGAGUACCCGGAGAAAAAGCAUCGGCUAACUCCUUGCCAGCAGCCGCGGUAUUACGGAGGCUGCGAGCGUUAGCCGGAUUUAUUGGGUUAAAAGGGUGCGUAGGCGGAUCGUGAAGUCAGUGGUAAAAUUGAGGGGCUAAACCCCUUCCCGCAAUUGAACCUGGCGGGCUGGAGUGGAAGAGAAGGAUGCGGAAUGCGUGGUGUAGCGGUGAAAUGCAUAG
This 358-nucleotide ribosomal RNA is filed under the name uncultured bacterium. RNAcentral describes it as "partial 16S ribosomal RNA". It matches the Rfam family "Bacterial small subunit ribosomal RNA", at positions 338 to 693 of the family's 1533-position model. The record is from RNAcentral.